Molecule: long non-coding RNA, 821 nt
Organism: Engraulis encrasicolus (European anchovy)
Lineage: Eukaryota; Metazoa; Chordata; Actinopteri; Clupeiformes; Engraulidae
Exons: 6
Source: RefSeq, a predicted model, not a curated record
CAGGAAUAACUUUGGCUUUUGGAACACUGGACUAACCAUGUCAGGAUAACAUACUCCCUUGGAUUAUAGUCAUCGGACUCGCAAGACCAGACUCCAACACGGGCUGAAAUGGGGCCUGACACUCUUGGACACAGAUGUCGGCUACGGCAGCGGCUUCAAAUACGCUUUGGUGACCAUAUUUCUAAUCGAGAGUUGUGCGAACGAGCCAGACAAACCAGCUGGGAGGACAGAAGCACCCCUUCUCCAUCCGCGUUCAGUAACUGAAUACGGAUUCACCCCGUAGUUGUGGUGUUUUCCAUAGCUGUUCCUUGCUCCUGUAUCACAACAUAUCAAGGCUGCCAAGUAAAUGAAGAAUGAAUCACCGCACACUGGUCAACAGCAGACAGGGUCCUUCCACAACCACAUACUUAUGCCAGUAAAAGCUACAGCUUUUCUCCUCCGAUCCAAGAAGCCUGGACUGCAGUCACCAUCUCAACACACCAACCAAGAGAAAGGCGGAUGGCUCAAUUCAAUAUGGAAAAUUGCACAAUAAAAGUUCCAGGACAUGAAGGCUGCAUACUGUGAACGUCAACCGUCCUUCAGGGCACCGUCCUGCGCAGAAGACUUUCUACCCUAAGAGGGAUGGCUGACCGCAGACACUCACAACCAGCACAGACGCCUCCAACCUCAGACUAGGCCCUUCACAGUUGCUGCACUUACCCACCUUCCCAGAGUUUUUGUGUGGUAAUGACAACUGUAAAUAUAGUAUAAAGUAAUGUAUCUAGUGUCAUGUGUAAUACAUUGUUUAAAUUGUCCAUAAAUUUCAAUGACAGUAAAUAUUG